CUUUGGUGGCGACCGGCGCACGGGUGCGUAACGCGUAUGCAACCUACCUUUAACAGGGGCAUAACACUGAGAAAUUGGCACUAAUUCCCCAUAACAUUCGAGAAGGCAUCUUCUUGGGUUAAAAACUCCGGUGGUUAAAGAUGGGCAUGCGUUGUAUUAGCUAGUUGGUGGGGUAACGGCUCACCAAGGCGACGAUACAUAGGGGGACUGAGAGGUUAACCCCCCACACUGGUACUGAGACACGGACCAG
RNAcentral lists this ribosomal RNA (250 nucleotides) under uncultured bacterium. Its description in RNAcentral is "partial 16S ribosomal RNA". It matches the Rfam family "Bacterial small subunit ribosomal RNA", at positions 83 to 334 of the family's 1533-position model. The record is from RNAcentral.